This 825-nucleotide ribosomal RNA is filed under the name Sphaerulina azaleae. RNAcentral describes it as "eukaryotic LSU rRNA". It matches the Rfam family "Eukaryotic large subunit ribosomal RNA", at positions 71 to 925 of the family's 3401-position model. RNAcentral also lists the same sequence under 3 other names. Lineage: Eukaryota; Fungi; Ascomycota; Dothideomycetes; Mycosphaerellales; Mycosphaerellaceae. The record is from RNAcentral.
GGGAUUGCCCUAGUAACGGCGAGUGAAGCGGCAACAGCUCAAAUUUGAAAUCUGGCGCAAGCCCGAGUUGUAAUUUGUAGAGGAUGCUUCUGGGUAGCGACCGGUCUAAGUUCCUUGGAACAGGACGUCAUAGAGGGUGAGAAUCCCGUAUGUGACCGGCCCGCACCCUUUACGUAGCUCCUUCGACGAGUCGAGUUGUUUGGGAAUGCAGCUCUAAAUGGGAGGUAAAUUUCUUCUAAAGCUAAAUACCGGCCAGAGACCGAUAGCGCACAAGUAGAGUGAUCGAAAGAUGAAAAGUACUUUGGAAAGAGAGUUAAAAAGCACGUGAAAUUGUUGAAAGGGAAGCGCCUGCAAUCAGACUUCGCGGCAGUGUUCCGCCGGUCUUCUGACCGGUUUAUUCUCUGUCGCGAGGCCAUCAUCGUCUCGGCCCGCUGGAUAAGACCUUGGGAAUGUAGCUCACCUUCGGGGGAGUGUUAUAGCUCAUGGUGAUGCAGCGAGGCUGGGGCGAGGUCCGCGCUUCGGCAAGGAUGAUGGCGUAAUGGUUGUCGGCGGCCCGUCUUGAAACACGGACCAAGGAGUCUAACAUCUAUGCGAGUGUUCGGGUGUCAAACCCCUACGCGUAAUGAAAGUGAACGGAGGUGGGAACCGCAAGGUGCACCAUCGACCGAUCCUGAUGUCCUCGGAUGGAUUUGAGUAAGAGCAUAGCUGUUGGGACCCGAAAGAUGGUGAACUAUGCCUGAAUAGGGUGAAGCCAGAGGAAACUCUGGUGGAGGCUCGCAGCGGUUCUGACGUGCAAAUCGAUCGUCAAAUUUGGGUAUAGGGGCG